Long non-coding RNA from Antechinus flavipes (yellow-footed antechinus), 1744 nucleotides. RefSeq lists it as uncharacterized. NCBI's taxonomy places the organism in Eukaryota, Metazoa, Chordata, Mammalia, Dasyuromorphia, Dasyuridae. The transcript is spliced from 2 exons. The record is from RefSeq and is a predicted model, not a curated record.
UGGGACUAUGGACCCGUUAGGUCUCAGAGAGCCUAUCCGAGCGGAACACCCGGCUAGACUAAAAGAGGGGUGGGGGAAAGGAGGGUUGGGGCGUGGGCAUGGUCUAGGUUUCGGGCUGAGGAGAAAAGGGAGGAAAAAAAGAUUAGUGUGGUACAAGAGCUUAGCUGGGCAGGAGGGUGUGGCAAGGAGGGAAUUGCAGAGAAAGGCUGGUAUCUAGUAAAGCAACGGAAAUGGAACAGGUGGAGGGGUUGAAAAGGCUAGUUGGGUGUAUGCGGCGGGAACUAGAGAGCAUGGAAAUUGCACUUCACAUUUACCUAGUACUUUCAUGACAGCCUUGUGAAGUAGGUGGAACAAGUAUUAUUCUGGGUGUUGCCAGUGAGUAAAAUGCGGUUCAGAGGGAUAUGAUUUGCCCAAAGAAACAAAACUUGUAAGAAGCAACGCUGGGCCUGGAAUACAAAGUCAAUUUAGAGCGGACACCCGAGAAGUCCAGUCCCCUCCUUUUACUUGUAAGGCCCAGAGAGAUCAAACCCAUUAGGAUGAUUUUAUUUCCUUUCUUCCUCCAACCCACGUUCAGGAGAAUUUGGACCGGGACUUUCCCCCCUCUAAGGCCAAAAGAGCUAUUGCACUAAAAACGUCACAAAUACUGGCAAUCCAUACCCAGACUGGGAGCUGGGUACAACAGCCGGAAGAGUGACCGGUGUCUGGAAGGGGCGGGGGGUGGGGGGAGGAUGGGGGACUGCCUGGUCCGCAGCUGCGGCAGCGACAAUGAGGGACACCUGCUGAGAACCUCAGGGAGAGCGGCCAGAGGAAGGAUGCUGAAUGCCACCUGCUGGGCGCGGCCGAGAACUGCAGCCUACUUCGGCAGGAGAACAAAGGCGAUCGAUGCUCUAGCGAGCAGCCCUACCCAGUGCACCACUGGGAAAGCUUCCCAGCAUUAGAGAUGGAGAGUUUGAACUGACCUUAGAAGCCCCUCAUUCGGCAAAUUGGGAAACAGGCCUAGGGUGGGCUGAGUGACAAGCUAAUAAUAUUUGAGGCAGGAAUCAAAACUCAGAUCUUCCUAAUUCCAAAUUCAUCACUUUAUUCCCCGUAUCUUGUUGCCUAUCAGUGGUUAUUUCCACGAGCUCUGUUAAAAAUCUCUAUUUCUUUUCUUCUACUGGAAAUUUUUUCCUUUUCCUUUUUAAAAAUGUUUUCCUACAGUUUUAUUGCUGAUAUCUUUUGUUUUCAGGGCAUGUACAUUUAUUUCCCACUGUAUCCAUCCAUUGCUCUACCUCAUACAUUAUGCUACUUGUUAAUGAUUGAUUGUUAAUAUUUCCCAUGAGCUCUGUAAAAAAAUCUUUGUUUUCUUCAACUACUUUUCUUCUUUAACAAUCUUUUUCUACAAUUAUUAUUAUUGCAGUAUGCACAUUUUUCAAUGUAGCCAUCCAUUGCUCUAUGCCCUACACUCUGCUACUUAUUAGUGUUUGUUGAUAUUUCCCAUAAACUCUGUUAAGAUUUCUAUCUUUUAAAAUUUUCUCCCUACAAUUUUUAUUUUUUAGUUACUUGCAGCUUGUACAUUUCCUAAUGUAUUUUCUCUGCCUCUUCCACAAGACAAUCUUUUACAAUAAAUAAUUAAAAAAGAGAAAAAAUAAUUCAGCAAAACAAACCAACACAUCCAACAAGUCUGAUGUUUAUAUGUAAUGUUCUCCAUAUAUCCACCCCACAUCUGCAAAGAAUAAAAAUAAAAUAUCUUUUCUUUGGGGGCCAA